RNAcentral lists this ribosomal RNA (253 nucleotides) under uncultured Bacteriovoracaceae bacterium. RNAcentral's name for it is "partial 16S ribosomal RNA". It matches the Rfam family "Bacterial small subunit ribosomal RNA", at positions 524 to 776 of the family's 1533-position model. The record is from RNAcentral. Lineage: Bacteria; Pseudomonadati; Bdellovibrionota; Bacteriovoracia; Bacteriovoracales; Bacteriovoracaceae.
UACGAAGGGUGCAAGCGUUGUUCGGAAUCAUUGGGCGUAAAGCGCGCGCAGGCGGAUUAGUAAGUCAGGUGUGAAAUCUCGAAGCUCAACUUCGAAACUGCGCCUGAAACUAUUAGUCUAGAAUGUCGGAGGGGGCAGGGGAAUUUCACGUGUAGGGGUAAAAUCCGUAGAGAUGUGAAGGAACACCGGAGGCGAAGGCGCCGGCCUGGACGACUAUUGACGCUGAGGAGCGAAAGCGUGGGGAGCAAACAGG